CGGUAGAGGUAAGUGGAAUUCCAUGUGUAGCGGUGGAAUGCGUAGAUAUAUGGAGGAACACCAAUGGCGAAGGCAACUUACUGGGCCGGAAUUGACGCUGAGGCACGAAAGCGUGGGGAGCAAACAGGAUUAGAUACCCUGGUAGUCCACGCCGUAAACGAUGAGAACUAAGUGUUGGAGUAAAAUUCAGUGCUGAAGUUAACGCAUUAAGUUCUCCGCCUGGGUAGUACGAUCGCAAGAUUGAAACUCAAAGGAAUUGACGGGAACCCGCACAAGCGGUGGAGUAUGUUGUUUAAUUCGAAGAUACACGAAGAACCUUACCAGGUCUUGACAUACCAUUGACAGGUGUAGAGAUACAUUUUUCCUUCGGGACAAUGGAUACAGGUGGUGCAUGGUUGUCGUCAGCUCGUGCCGUGAGGUGUUGGGUUAAGUCCCGCAACGAGCGCAACCCUUAUUGUUAGUUGCUAAUAUUAAGUUAAGGACUCUAAUGAGACUGCCAGCGAUAAGCUGGAGGAAGGUGGGGAUGACGUCAAAUCAUCAUGCCCCUUAUGACCUGGGCUACAAACGUACUACAAUGGAUGAUACAAAGAGAAGCGAGAUCGCGAGAUGGAGCAAACCUCAUAAAAUCAUUCUCAGUUCAGAUUGAAGUCUGCAACUCGACUUCAUGAAGUCGGAAUCGCUAGUAAUCGUGAGUCAGCAGAUCACGGUGAAUACGUUCCCGGGUUUUGUACACACCGCCCGUCAAACCACGAGAGUUUGUAACACCCG
This 768-nucleotide ribosomal RNA is filed under the name uncultured bacterium. RNAcentral's name for it is "bacterial SSU rRNA". It matches the Rfam family "Bacterial small subunit ribosomal RNA", at positions 649 to 1423 of the family's 1533-position model. The record is from RNAcentral.